Mauremys reevesii (Reeves's turtle) is the source of this 637-nucleotide long non-coding RNA. RefSeq lists it as uncharacterized. Lineage: Eukaryota; Metazoa; Chordata; Testudines; Geoemydidae. The record is from RefSeq and is a predicted model, not a curated record. The transcript has 4 exons.
CCCAAUUCCGCACUCUGGGCACUGUGACUUGGUUCAGAGGGCCACAGUACCACUCUUCUGUCAUGAAAGCGGGGCGGCCAAGCCAAAUCUCAGUAGUGCUGUAACCUAUCAUGCCAGGCCAUGUCUGGAGUGGGGAAUCAGGCUCAGCCCCACAGGAAAGGAGCCGCAGCUUUAGGGCAAAGCUUAAAAAACUGUACAACUGGUCUGGUAACAACAGGGAGGCUGAUCCCAUGUAGAAUGGCUAGGAUAGCAAGUGGAAUCGUGCAAUGCCAGUGUCCAACUGAAAAGGAACACUUCUCAUGGAAAGCAGCAACCAAGACUGGGCCUGGCCUUCAGAGCAGGAUUCUUGGAGAUUUCACUUUACUGCCUGCAUACAAGAACAGAGCAGAGCAGGGAAGAGCGUUACUGUAGUUGCAUACCUUGAAGUUGUCAGCAGACCGCCAAAUGUAACUCUGAAGGGAGGUCGGAUUUUUGGCCUAUCAACCUUGACAAUGACAAUUUCUGGAGACAGAAAAGCACAGAAGAAAUACGGAAGGGAAGACCGGAAUUCACUUGCACAAUAUUAGUUGCGACAGUUUACACUAUAUUUCAUAUACUUAUUCUUGUAUUCUUAAAACAGAUUCCUGUGAGAACUUAU